GAUCAUGGCUCAGGAUAAACGCUAGCUACAGGCUUAACACAUGCAAGUCGAGGGGCAUCAGUUUGGUUUGCUUGCAAACCAAAGCUGGCGACCGGCGCACGGGUGAGUAACACGUAUCCAACCUGCCUCAUACUCGGGGAUAGCCUUUCUAAAGAAAGAUUAAUAUCCGAUAGCAUAUAUUUCCCGCAUGGGUUUUAUAUUAAAGAAAUUCGGUAUGAGAUGGGGAUGCGUUCCAUUAGUUUGUUGG
RNAcentral lists this ribosomal RNA (247 nucleotides) under uncultured bacterium. RNAcentral's name for it is "partial 16S ribosomal RNA". It matches the Rfam family "Bacterial small subunit ribosomal RNA", at positions 15 to 252 of the family's 1533-position model. The record is from RNAcentral.